GUAGGUGAAGCGACUUGCUCGCGGAGCUGAAACCAGUCGAAGAUACCAGCUGGCUGCAACUGUUUAUUAAAAACACAGCACUGUGCAAACACGAAAGUGGACGUAUACGGUGUGACGCCUGCCCGGUGCCGGAAGGUUAAUUGAUGGGGUCAACCGCAAGGUGAAGCUCUUGAUCGAAGCCCCGGUAAACGGCGGCCGUAACUAUAACGGUCCUAAGGUAGCGAAAUUCCUUGUCGGGUAAGUUCCGACCUGCACGAAUGGCGUAAUGAUGGCCAGGCUGUCUCCACCCGAGACUCAGUGAAAUUGAACUCGCUGUGAAGAUGCAGUGUACCCGCGGCAAGACGGAAAGACCCCGUGAACCUUUACUAUAGCUUGACACUGAACAUUGAGCCUUGAUGUGUAGGAUAGGUGGGAGGCUUUGAAGCGUGGACGCCAGUCUGCGUGGAGCCAACCUUGAAAUACCACCCUUUAAUGUUUGAUGUUCUAACGUGGACCCGUAAUCCGGGUUGCGGACAGUGUCUGGUGGGUAGUUUGACUGGGGCGGUCUCCUCCUAAAGCGUAACGGAGGAGCACGAAGGUCAGCUAAUCCUGGUCGGACAUCAGGAGGUUAGUGCAAUGGCAUAAGCUGGCUUGACUGCGAGCGUGACGGCGCGAGCAGGUGCGAAAGCAGGUCAUAGUGAUCCGGUGGUUCUGAAUGGAAGGGCCAUCGCUCAACGGAUAAAAGGUACUCCGGGGAUAACAGGCUGAUACCGCCCAAGAGUUCAUAUCGACGGCGGUGUUUGGCACCUCGAUGUCGGCUCAUCACAUCCUGGGGCUGAAGUAGGUCCCAAGGGUAUGGCUGUUCGCCAUUUAAAGUGGUACGCGAGCUGGGUUUAGAACGUCGUGAGACAGUUCGGUCCCUAUCUGCCGUGGGCGCUGGAGAAUUGAGGGGGGCUGCUCCUAGUACGAGAGGACCGGAGUGGACGCAUCACUGGUGUUCGGGUUGUCAUGCCAAUGGCACUGCCCGGUAGCUAAAUGCGGAAGAGAUAAGUGCUGAAAGCAUCUAAGCACGAAACUUGCCCCGAGAUGAGUUCUCCCUGAGACUUUAAGUCUCCUGAAGGAACGUUGAAGACGACGACGUUGAUAGGCCGGGUGUGUAAGCGCAGCGAUGCGUUGAGCUAACCGGUACUAAUGAACCGUGAGGCUUAACCUU
This 1192-nucleotide ribosomal RNA is filed under the name Atlantibacter hermannii. RNAcentral describes it as "partial 23S ribosomal RNA". It matches the Rfam family "Bacterial large subunit ribosomal RNA", at positions 1739 to 2925 of the family's 2925-position model. RNAcentral also lists the same sequence under 1 other name. Lineage: Bacteria; Pseudomonadati; Pseudomonadota; Gammaproteobacteria; Enterobacterales; Enterobacteriaceae. The record is from RNAcentral.